UUGAUUCGAGUCCGUCUUCGAACGAAACUCGCUGUAGUCCAAUAGGCGUGCAUUUUGGGCUUCUUUAAGACAGCGACUGCAGGGCCUCUUCCUGUGGUUUGCACCAUGUGGCCUAAAAAGUGUUAAAAGGCGACAACUUCUUUCUCUUUUCGCUGUUGUUUCCGGGAUCAAGCAGGCAGAGAACUGGUUUAACAAAGUGCUGUAAAGUGAACAUUCGGAGCACAUGGAGGUAAGAGGAAGCGUGCAAAGAAAGGAUUGGAGCGUGAAGAGAAGAGAAGAGGCGGGAACAUCAGUGCAGUCACUCAUAAAGUAGACAGCACUACUAAACGUCUCUACACAGUGUAGUGUUUCCUACUUUAUGGAUGAGUGUACUGUAUGCGGCGAGGGAUGAUCUUAUGGAGAACCAAAUGAUGCUGAAUCUGAAUGUCUUGUUUAUUAAAUAUUAAUAAAGAUGGUGUUUCAAUACUGA
Molecule: long non-coding RNA, 469 nt
Organism: Carassius auratus (goldfish)
Lineage: Eukaryota; Metazoa; Chordata; Actinopteri; Cypriniformes; Cyprinidae
Exons: 2
Source: RefSeq, a predicted model, not a curated record